AGAGGUGAAGCAGAUUCCAAGGGAUGAAGUUGAAGAGAACUUUACCUUCAGCAAAAGGCUGAAAUGAGCAAUACGGGGAUCUUUCAUGAGCCCACCUGGCUGUUCAAGGCUCUUGAUGGACGAUGCUCUGGGGAGCUCCUGUUCAUAUCAGGGUGAGGAUAGGAGGAAGGGGAGAUGCUUUUGCAUUUAAACCUGUCUCUACUUUUGUAGUUCAUGUAGCUUCAACACAAGUUGCUUUCGUGACCUGGAGUGUGAGCUGUGAGAUCACAGUGACGCUGUUAACAGAUGAUUCUGGUUUUGCUUAUACUUUCAUUCAGCAUACACUUGUGAAUGCCUUCCAUGUGCCAGGCACUUUGCUAGGUCCCUGAGAAACAGCAGAGGACAAGGAACCCAUGUUCCCUUUCAUGGAGUGGACACUCCAGUGGGAGAGAAACAAACGAAAGAGCCAGUACAAAUGAGGCGUGCUCAGAAGGAAAAAUCCAUGGGGGCUGAAAGCCCAUGACAUGAGAUCCUGAUCUUACUGGCUGGAUGGAGGAGGGCCUCAUGCCUUCGGGAAGAGAAUGCUAAGGGCAAUGAGCGGUCCAGCAGGAGUCAGCCAGGUGAGGGGAGUGGACAGGAGCACCCCCUACAGAAGGACACUGCAACAUCAACGAGAAUUCACCAAGAAGCUCACCAAGCAGGAAAUGUAAGCAUGCAAGCAGGUGUAGCCAAGCUGAAUGAGGUCAGGCCUUCAUCUAUGUGACUGGAGGCCUUUUUAAAAGAGGAAAUUACAACAUGGUUAUAGAAGCCAGAAGCUGGAAGUCAGUAGAAACUGGAAAAGCAGACACAAGAAGAGAGAGAUGGCCAUGUGAUGUGGGGCAGAGAUGCAAGCCAAGUAACUCCAAGGAUAGCGGCAAGCCGACACCAGCAUGCUACACACUCUGGGGAGAAAAUAUAACCUUGUCAGUGUCUUGACUUUGGACUUCUAGCCUCUGAAACUCCCUCUACAAGUUAUCUACUGGGCGAUUUCUAAAGAAUGAGCUUGAAAUGUGGCUUAGCUACUGCAUGGUGGAGCAUAGAAGGCGCUAGAUUGGAAGGACGGAGUUCUGGAUUCUGGUAUCACCAUCUCACUAAGCAGCUGAAUGAUCUUGGUGCAACAGAAAUCUCGUGCCAAACGGAUGGAGAACAAUAAGAAGAUUCUAAAUGUCCUUUAUUUGCGAAAACACACAGUGUCAAGGAGUAUCCGGAUAUUCUCACAUUAUUUCCAGCCUCCAUCCUAAAGGUUCAUCUGUCCUAGUCGACUCCGAUCUAAAUGAGGACUGAAUCUAUUUUAUAGUCUUGGGCCCUGAACACUAGUAAACAGCACUUUGGACAUGGUAAGCAUUCAGUAAGUGCUAGUUGAAAUGAAUUGAAGGCGCCCUUCAUCUUCUCAUAGCACUUGAGUAGCUCAGGUGUCUUCAGCCUCUGCUUCCCUAUCCUGAAAUACCUGAGGGUCAGGACAAACUUCCAUCAUCCCAGCAGUUACCGUGGACACUUUUCUAAGGGAAGGCAUGCGACAAUCUGUGACUGUGGACUGAGAGGAACGGGGGUGAUUUGAAUCAAAACUUCUUGUAUGAUUCUAAUU
Choloepus didactylus (southern two-toed sloth) is the source of this 1603-nucleotide long non-coding RNA. RefSeq lists it as uncharacterized. The transcript is spliced from 5 exons. The record is from RefSeq and is a predicted model, not a curated record. Lineage: Eukaryota; Metazoa; Chordata; Mammalia; Pilosa; Megalonychidae.